This 445-nucleotide ribosomal RNA is filed under the name uncultured Prevotellaceae bacterium. RNAcentral's name for it is "bacterial SSU rRNA". It matches the Rfam family "Bacterial small subunit ribosomal RNA", at positions 354 to 796 of the family's 1533-position model. The record is from RNAcentral. Lineage: Bacteria; Pseudomonadati; Bacteroidota; Bacteroidia; Bacteroidales; Prevotellaceae.
GUGAGGAAUAUUGGUCAAUGGGCGAGAGCCUGAACCAGCCAAGUAGCGUGCAGGAAGACGGCCCUAUGGGUUGUAAACUGCUUUUAUAGGGGAAUAAAGUGAGCCACGUGUGGUUUUUUGCAUGUACCCUAUGAAUAAGGACCGGCUAAUUCCGUGCCAGCAGCCGCGGUAAUACGGAAGGUCCGGGCGUUAUCCGGAUUUAUUGGGUUUAAAGGGAGCGUAGGCCGGAGAUUAAGCGUGUUGUGAAAUGUAGACGCUCAACGUCUGCACUGCAGCGCGAACUGGUUUCCUUGAGUACGCAUAAAGUGGGCGGAAUUCGUGGUGUAGCGGUGAAAUGCUUAGAUAUCACGAAGAACUCCGAUUGCGAAGGCAGCUCACUGGGGCGCAACUGACGCUGAAGCUCGAAAGCGCGGGUAUCGAACAGGAUUAGAUACCCCAGUAGUCC